This 450-nucleotide ribosomal RNA is filed under the name uncultured bacterium. Its description in RNAcentral is "bacterial SSU rRNA". It matches the Rfam family "Bacterial small subunit ribosomal RNA", at positions 330 to 794 of the family's 1533-position model. The record is from RNAcentral.
GCCAGACUCCUACGGGAGGCAGCAGUGGGGGAUAUUGGACAAUGGGGGAAACCCUGAUCCAGCGACGCCGCGUGAGUGAAGAAGUAUUUCGGUAUGUAAAGCUCUGUCAGCAGGGAAGAAAGAAAUGACGGUACCUGACCAAGAAGCCCCGGCUAACUACGUGCCAGCAGCCGCGGUAAUACGUAGGGGGCAAGCGUUAUCCGGAUUUACUGGGUGUAAAGGGAGCGUAGACGGCAUGGCAAGUCUGAAGUGAAAGCCCGGGGCUCAACCGCGGGACUGCUUUGGAAACUGUUAAGCUGGAGUGCAGGAGAGGUAAGUGGAAUUCCUAGUGUAGCGGUGAAAUGCGUAGAUAUUAGGAGGAACACCAGUGGCGAAGGCGGCUUACUGGACUGUAACUGACGUUGAGGCUCGAGAGCGUGGGGAGCAAACAGGAUUAGAUACCCUCGUAUU